GGGGGGGGGAAUUGGAUUUUAAGCGGGCGCGGCGAUUCAGCCCUUACCCUGCUGUACUUAAGCAUAUCCAUAAGGCGGAGGGAAAGAAACUAACAAGGAUUCCCCUAGUAACUGCGAGUGAAGCGGGAAAAGCGUCAAAUUUCAAAUCUGGCGGUCCCGCCGCCCGAGUUGUAUUCUGGAGAAGCGUCUUCUGCGCCGGACCGUGGACAAGUGCCUUGGAACAGGACGUCACAGAGGGUGAGAAUCCCGUCUUUGACACGGACCUCGGGCGCUCCGCGAUGCGCUCUCGAAGAGUCGAGUUGUUUGGGAAUGCAGCUCAAAACGGGUGGUAAAUUCCAUCUAAAGCUAAAUAUUGGCGAGAGACCGAUAGCGAACAAGUACCGUGAGGGAAAGAUGAAAGGCACUUUGGUAAGAGAGUAAAACAGUACGUGAAAUUGUUGAAAGGGAAACGCUUGAAGUCAGUCGCGUCGGCCGGAACUCAGCCUUGCUUCUGCUCGGCGCACUUUCCGGCCCGACGGGCCAGCAUCGGUUUCGUGGGGCGGACACUGGUGGGGGGAAGGUGGCGCGCCCCUGGCCCCGUUAUAGCCUCCCGUGCGUGAACGCCCCGUGGGACCGAGGAAUCCGGCGUGAGCCUGGGAUGCUGGCGUAAUGGCUUUAAACGACCCGUCUUGAAACAGCGG
This 680-nucleotide ribosomal RNA is filed under the name uncultured fungus. RNAcentral's name for it is "eukaryotic LSU rRNA". It matches the Rfam family "Eukaryotic large subunit ribosomal RNA", at positions 1 to 664 of the family's 3401-position model. The record is from RNAcentral. Lineage: Eukaryota; Fungi.